Pimephales promelas (fathead minnow) is the source of this 391-nucleotide non-coding RNA. NCBI's taxonomy places the organism in Eukaryota, Metazoa, Chordata, Actinopteri, Cypriniformes, Leuciscidae. The record is from RefSeq and is a predicted model, not a curated record.
ACGACUAAACGCCUGUGAAGAGACGACUCAACGGCAGUGGAUACUGUAUGGAACAUAGUGGACAUGAUGAAGAGCCCAGACAGACCUGUGCCAUACAUCCAUGCAGAGAUGGUCUCCCACUGGUCAUCAGAGAGGAAGUACAACACUGAGCUGGCCAUGAUACUGGGAAUGAUCCAGAACUGAACAGAAGACAAAAUCAUGAAUGGCUGUGACCACUGACUGACUUACACUGGGUGUGCUGAUGCUAUUCAAAUCAACACUUUUUGACUCUGGUAAAUUAACACCACAAAAACACUCUAAAUGACACAUUUAGCUGUGGACAAAAUGAAGAACAUUUUAAGGAAAAGUUUGCAUAUGCAUUAUAUGUUUUGUAUUAUAUUUGAUAAAUCAG